This is a long non-coding RNA of Triticum aestivum (bread wheat), 4923 nucleotides long. RefSeq lists it as uncharacterized. The transcript has 2 exons. The record is from RefSeq and is a predicted model, not a curated record. Lineage: Eukaryota; Viridiplantae; Streptophyta; Magnoliopsida; Poales; Poaceae.
CCUGCAGUCCUCACCAUAAGUCAGCCCCGAACCGGUACAGGGAGGAAAAAAGAGAAAAAAAAAUAGCCCAGCCCGCACGACCUUCCUCCUCGAUCCCAUCUCGACCUCCAUCCCGCCGCCACCUCCCGCCGCCACCUCCUGCCUCGCCCCGCCCAGCCUCACCGCGCGCCGCCCGCCGCCGACGCGCCGCCCACCAGCCGCGCCCGCACCCAUCUCCCAUCGAUGCGCCACCAUCCCCUGUAUCCAUGCUCCGCCGUCUGAAUCCCGUCGUCGAGUCCCUCCCGCUCGCCGUGGCCAAUGAUCGCGUCGACCGGGACCGCGUCCCUCCCCAAACGGCGGCGAUGAUGGAGGGUGCCGCACUGCCGCCCAGCUCCUGACCGACGGAGUCGCCGGGUUCCCGCUCCUCGGGGCCAGCCCCUCCCCCGUGUCGGGUCGCGCAUCGGCUUGGAGGCCCCUCGGGGCUGCCGCCGGUGAGGGAGUCCUGCGCGGCCGUGAGGGCUGGGGACCAAGCGGCGGGGUCCGUGGUGCGUUCCUGUUGAGGGCUUGCUGGGGUUGGCAGGGAUCUGAGCCGCCGUCGAUGGAUUUCUCGCAGCUUGGCUACAUGUUGCUUCGGAUUUGGUACUAUCCCCAUCUCCCUCUCCCUCGGUGUGGACGCACGCACCUAAACCCAAAACCUGAACUGAAUCAGUCGAGCGCUCGUUGCCGGAUCGUUGAACCAUCGUCCCGGUCGCUGCCGCGUCAGUUCCACACCGCUACAACGCUGCCUACCACCGCCACUCCAUUGGCUUGGAUUUGUUUGUGGCAUGGGCUGGGAACUGUACGGUGUUGUCUGAUGCAUGUUCCGCACUGGGAGGUUUGGUCGGUUGACGCUAGGUAUGAGCAGCUCUUGAGCCUGAUUGCUGGAUGUGGGCACGCAUGCAUGUAUACUCCUCAACUUGCACUGCUUAUACAACACAUUGCCUGUACACCACGGCCGUGGACAGGCGGACGUGCUCCUACUCCUCACAAGGCACCCACAGUCUUUAUUAGCAAGCCAAUCCAAAACUUCAGCAUGCAUUUUUUUUAAAGGACAACUAAGUAUCUUUGUUAGUAACAUCUUUGUCAAAAAUUAGAAAAAACGCCAGUGCAUUAGUUGAGCUAAUCAGCUAGCUUCAUCUCUUGGAUUAUGCAUUGAUAGUAUGGCACAUGUUGUAUCGUUAUAAGCAAUUUUUGUUAGGAGGUAAGAUUUUAGUGUCGUCGUUCAGUUUUUGUUACAUACAAAAUGAAUAUGAUUAGUUAAUUCUGUUUUCUUUUAAGAGGUAUUUCUCUCGCCAGCCUUUGUGUUAUCCAUGUGAAUUCCACUAGAUUUAUCAUCCGUGUACCUAAAUUGUGCAUAUUAUCAAAUUCUGGAAAAAAAAAGUUGAGCGCUUAUUGUGGCCAUCAUCUGCAUAGCACCACACCUAGAGCUAAAAUCAAGUAACCUUCAUGGAUUUUGUUGACAAGAAAGACAACGAACUUAAUUUAACGACUUGAAGUCAAUUGCACAUGUCUCAUACUGCAUUGCACCUUGGCCGACGCACUCGACCACGACAAGCAGCAGCUCGGGAAGCCUUUGCAAUUCAUGUAUUUACAACAUUUACAGUUCAUGUAUUUACUGUUCAUGCAUUGCACCUUCAUGGUUUUUGUUGUACUUCUGCAUUUGCAACAUUUACAGCUUAAUGCAAUCAGGAAUUGGUUAUAGAUUUCAUGUGAUUUAAUUUCUGAAUGUUAACAACAGUGACAACUUGUGACUUUCGUAAGUUUUAUUUCCAUUGAGACAGAGCGGGCAAUGGAUCGUGAGAUGGAAUGAAAUUAUAAGUUUUCUGAAUGCUAAUUGCGUAUGUUUUGUACUUGUAGGAAUGCUAUGAAGGAAGUGUUCUUCCCUUAUUUUUUAUGAAGGUAAGGUCUUGUUCUUGGAUUCCUACUGCUCUAGAUUGCUUGGCUGCUCUAAUUUAUCACUUCAUGGCCUUAUGCUCCACCAUUAUCUUUGAACACUUGAUACUUAUUUACUUUUCUUCGUUGGCUUCUUUUUGAUAGUCAUCUGAUUUAAAAAUGCUAGCAUGUGCCACUUUAGUAUCUUUCAGUUUCAGCAAACAUAUUGGAUUAUCUUGACAUAUGUUGGCAUUGACAAGAUAAUAUAGAUUGUCACUAUUAAUUUCAAUGUUCACGCUCCAUCCUAUUUAAAUUCCUAUUUGGAUGGAAGUCAACACACUAAGAACUGUAUGCUUGAUGAAUGAUGUUCACAGCAAUUACUCGAAUUUCUUCGUUUCCGCGGUAUAGUUAUGCAAGUUAAGUUCUGUUUGCUCAUGCAUUCACUUGUGCAGACUGAUGGUUAAUUGUGAACUAUGUAUAUUCUGUAGGUUCUUCUUAGUGAGAUCAAAACUAAGCACAAUCGUAUUUUCUCGAAUUGUACACAUGCUAUGAUUUUCAUGCUCUCUGUAGUAAUUAUGUUGAAUUCUCAUAAUUCCUUUUGCAUUAUUAUGCCAAACAAUUUGUAUGCUAAAAACAUACUUCAUAAUCCCAUCUCCCCGCGUCGUCCCGAUUUGUUCCAGCUGGGCACUGCCUCGGCUGCAAAGCGUGUGUUGUCCCACGAAGCAGGCCCUCCUUUGCAAGGCCGACGAGGAUAGCUUCAACUUCGCAGCCUAUUCUGGUCAAUGAUGUCAUUGAUAAUAACCAGGAAGUUUCACCGCUCAGUUCAUCCAGUUGAAUCCUUCUAUUGUAAUUCUAUUCCCUACCCUUUCUUACUUGUAGGACAUUCAAGUGUGGUACACAUGUGAGUAUCUUCUCCUUCCCUCUGUUGUAUGCAUGUGGUCAUUUGUUAUCCCAAUUAAGAAUCAAGAUCCACUACAUUCUUGAAUAUUGAAGACUGUUUUAGUUGGUCCAGAUUAAACUUGAUAAAUACAAUUUCCUUGUUGGUUCCAUCUGAGUUGUAUUAAUGAUUUGGGCAGUUUUCAGUAAUCUUAAGCCGUCUUCAGAUUUUAGCUUCCUCAAUCAUUCUGAAUUAUUUAACCUCAGUAUGAGGUACAUGUCUUCCAAAGAUUAAUCCUGAGAAAUUUGUAGUUGAUCAGUUGGGUCUGUUUGAUUUGUUCAGUAGACUGCAGCAGCAGUCACCAUUGUUCAGAUCUAUUCUAAAGCUACAUUAUUAGCACUGCAAUAUCUUUGUUACUUCAACCAAAUAGUUCAGCCGUGUCUUAUUGAUUUGGACGGGUUCUUACUAAUCUUUAAGCCAACUUCAAAUUUUAGCCUGCUCGGUCAAUCUGGAUUAUUUAGUGUCAAUUUUGAUGCAUGUCUUUAAUAAAGUAAGAAACUGAUUUUGGGUGCUAAAAUAAACACUAAACACUACUUGCUCAUGGCGACUAUGUGUAGAAAGACGAUCACGGUGGAGAUCCCGACGGUCGACGUGAAGCCGGGGUGGAAGAAGGGCACGAAGAUCACCUUCCUAGAAGGAACGAUCUGAUUUUUUCGGUACAGUUAUGUGUUUCAAAAAGUUAUUGUGAUGUAAUUUUUAUAUUAACACUAUAAUCUAUGAAGUUAUGUUUCCAGACAUUUCACUUUUUGCAUCAGCUGAGGCACAUUUUAUUUUCAAAUAAUUUCUGAAGUAAAAGUUGUGAAUGAACUGCAUGAUGUUUCAUGUGUUCGAAUUACACUUGAAAUAAAAAAUUAGAUAGCAAGGUGCAGAGGAAAUGUGAGAAAAGUUGUCCAAAAACCGAAGAACCUUUUUUACUUUUCUUCCCAUUACAAGUUUGCUAUUUAUACUAUGCUUUAUUUUUACUAUAACGUCAAAUUUAUCAUGUUUUAAGAUGAAUGGUAAAUCAAAUAAGGAAAAAACUAUGGUGGCCAGAUUUGGUAGCCCUUAGCCCUUAUCAUGUUUUUAUAUCCAAAAUACUGUUUGAUCCUUGUUCAGUCUUAUUUGCAGCGUAAACUAUGUACACUAAUCAUUAGACCAUCUUUGAAGAUCUGACGAACAAAAGCAGAAUGGUUCUUUCUAUACUGUUCGAACCACCCCCCCUUUCGUUCUCUCCCAGGGAGUGGCUAGCGCGCAACACUGCCAUGCUCCUCUGCCGCGCAGUCAUCACAGGAUGGGACGGCGACCUCGCCUUCCUAUUCAAUGUUCUGUCGGUAGCGUCGUUCUCUGUCCAGGAGCAUCCGGACAGGGAGGUGCUCCCGCCAUGCGUCUAGGCAUGUACUGCAACGGCGACCACAUGGCUAAGAUGGCCAUUGCCAUCACCGAGUUCCGCGCUCUCUGUUCUUCAUUAAAUCCAGAUGCGGAAACUAAAAGGCGAGUACCAUGGGAUCAUGAAGUAUAUAAAGCAAAGGAGGAGUUGUACCAUCUCCUCUCCGGCAAGAUUCUUUUUUUUGCUGGGGAAUGAACGAAUUGAAUGCAAGAUUGCAUUGUUACAAGGACAGAGAGUGGACCACCACCUUCAGUUUCUCAGAUUCCCUGUUUGCAUUCGCCAUUCUCAACAAGCACCAGGAUGUGGCUUUGGUUCUGCACAAACAAUAUCUUCAGUGGUUUCUAGAUCAAGCCCUAUGUUCUUUAUCUGAACAAUAGACAUUGUAAUUGUUCCAUCCAUUACCUCUGAAAGUCAAGAAUCGAAAGAAAAGUUAUUGGCAUAUCUCUGUCACCAAGGAAGGUUCGUUAGACAGAAAAAUGAUCUCUGGUUAUGUAUGAGAUGAUGCAAUGCACAUCUCUGAAUGAAGCACAACAGGAAUUUACAUCCUCUAAUGCUAACUGUUGAUCAUUCUUCUCUGAAGUAUCAAGUCAGUAUCUCAUUUGCCCCCUAUUCAUCUGUCAUGUCUGCAUGAAAAAUCAUUGCAAUUUUAAUCCUAUGUUUAAGGGUAGCUAAAUUUCUACGGACCUACAAUAUUAUCUUUUUGGAAUAACAGAUCAACUUUCAACAUGUA